Dromaius novaehollandiae (emu) is the source of this 4040-nucleotide long non-coding RNA. RefSeq lists it as uncharacterized. The transcript is spliced from 3 exons. The record is from RefSeq and is a predicted model, not a curated record. Lineage: Eukaryota; Metazoa; Chordata; Aves; Casuariiformes; Dromaiidae.
CAGCAUGCCGCGCGGCGGCGCCUUGACGUAAUCGGCGCGCGACACGCCCGCCUCGUCCUCAUGGCAACGGCGGCGCCACCGACCCGCGGCCGCGGCAGCCGGGCGCUCCCCGCGCAGCCCCGCACGCCCUGCGACAGCUGUGUAGGAGGCGACCGCAAGUGACCGCCACACGCUGAGCACGGACCCAGAGGCGAGCCCGAGCGCCACAGCUGCGCACAGGCGCUAACAGAUCUCGAGGACAAAGCUGCCCGUUUAUGGCCGAGCUGAUGUGACAACCUGCAGUCCUGUCCUGCUCUGCACCCUGCCUCCCACCCUGCACCUGACUCUGGAGCUCAUGAGACCUGAUCAUCAUGACAUUGACUUUUCCUGUUGCACUUUACUCUAGAUUCACGAGCUGAACUGGCUUGCAGAGGCCCUGAUGAACACCGAAGCUAGUGUGUGGACGUUUCCGGGAACUAGCAGUUCCACCUAAUCCAGCCUUUUGCAGUCUGUGCUGUAUGUAAGUACUCAGUGAAACCUACUGCCUAAAACAUGAGUUUCCCUGAUGCAGAAAUUGGGCACCUAAAAGAGAUGACUGAAAAAAUUGCACAAUGUUUUGCCAGAGGAGCUAGAGUUUGGAGGAGUUUGGAGCCAGUCAGGAUUUCAUUUCUAGGCUAUCUUACUGAACAAGCAUAGCCCAGAUGUUUUUAGUAAACGGCUCUCAAAACUCACAGUUGAGAUCAGUGUCAAAUUUCUAGCCGCAUGAUCUGCCUUGGAGCCAAGUUUGGGGUUGCUUUUGUGUUUACAUAAUGUCUUUGAGCUGAGUUACACAGAAGUUUGUGGGUGGGAUGGAAAUUCUCCAUAACAGAUAUUUGACUGGAUGCACAUUUUAUCUUGUUUAUGGGACUUUGAGCUUUGAAAAAGAGUUACUGUUUUUUUGGCCAUGUAAAACAGGACUUUGAGCUUCAAAAAAAAAACCCAUUGUUGUACUUUUGUCCGUGCAAUAUUUGAGGCAUAUUUAGCUAUCUCUUGCUGACUGGAUCUGGACCAAAGUUUGUGUUGCUUUCUGUUCAGCUUUCAGAGCUGUGGUUGUUCUAGCCACAACGGUCUAAACUAAUGUGGAAGAAAAAAGCAUUUUAGAGCAAGAGAGGAAGUCCCAAUUAAAAGCAGAGUUUGAGACAGCUGCUAGUACGUAAUGUUUCCUAAAGCAGUGGUGAUGCAGUAACUCACGUGGAGCCGGACUAAGACCACACUUAGACUUUCAGAAGAUUUUCCUGCCCUUGCCACUUCCCAGUGAUAGCUGCUCUGCAGAAGAUGAGCUGACGGCACUCAUUUCUGAACUGUAGACAAAUCAGGCUGUUACUUUGCUCCAUUUCUUUCCUUUCACAAAUACUUUUAUAAGCUGAAGGACUUCCUAAAUGUGUCCCUGUCACGUACUUCCUGAACCGUAUCUGCAGUUGAUAAAUGAGGCAUUGUGCAUCUCUGAACCCUCUGCCUUGUCCAGCCACAGUAAGCCCUGCUCACACCAAGGAAGUCCGCGAGCUGAAGGUCUAGCUCGAUGCAGAAGUCACGUGCUGCGUUUUCACUCCCAGACUAUAUCAGCACAAAUCUGGCUUCCGUUUUUAUAAGUUCAGAAUUUGCUUUCUGCAAAUAUUGUCCAGUAUCUGUUUAAAAGUCAUGUUUUCAGCCUGCAGUCAGAUCACUGCCAUAAUUUGGAUAGAUCAUGUACAAGAAGGGCCCAGGUAGAGUCAGGAUGAAUUAUAUUAAAGUGGAUUUAGCAGUCAUGCAAACUUUCCCUUUUUAACAGCUUAUCCUAGCUCUAGUGCAAAGUCUGUGCUACCUGCAAGUGCUCGUGCUACAUGGUGCUAUGCACGGCUCUGUUUGCGCAAACUUGCUGUACGCACGUGUUGUGUCCUCUUCAGAAACAACCCUGAGCUCCCAAACUAACAGCUGGUUACCCUCAGCCCCUGUCUGGGGCCCGCUCUUUCUACCACAACACCCAGCACUCUGAGGUGUGUGCAAACAGAGCCUUGGUGUGUUUUUUUCUGCAUCUAGGUGUAUCCUGAGCUCUAUCAACCAGUUCUUUGACUUAAUAACCUUCUGUAUAUGUAUGCAAAUAUUUAUCAGAGAAGCUCAGAUUAUUUUGCACCUCUCCAGCUGUCAUGUGAGGAAGCUAAGCAUCACUGUCCCUAAAAUGUCUGGUGUUCACGUCUGUUCUCCACACAUAAUAGCUGAGCUGUAAACAAGGGAGCUGGCUCCAUUGUUUCUGGUGGGAUCUUGGCCAAGGGAAAACAGAGGUUGUCUUCAACGGUUUGGAGCUGCUGUAGGCAGACAAUACAUUGACUUUUGCCUGUGGGCAGCAUGAAACAUGCCUCUGCUUCAGCCCAACCGAGCAGCAGCGCCAGGCUCUAGAAGCAGCUGAGAGUGGACAUGAAUUCAAAGUAAGGCUGCGGGUGCAGACUGCUGAGAGGAUAGACCAGGCCCUGCGCAGCUGCGAUGUUUGUGUGGGGAAGUGUGUUGAAAGAACUAGUUUGGACUACCAGGCUCUUUUUCCUGUACACACUGAGAUCUUUAAUCUGUUGGAUUUGAACAAGAAAAGCCAGGGUCCCCCACUCAUUCUGAAUAGUUUAAUGAGUAAUGAUCAGGAGUUGUAGUUAGUAGCUAAUUAUUAACUAUUAGCUGCUGAAAGUAGUAAGAUACUGAUGAGGCUGCAAAGCGUUGUCAGAUGCAGAGAAUGAUCUUGCAGUUGCAGAAUGUGAAUAUUAUUUGAUGUGAGGUCCAGCCUGAGUAUGAUGAUGCUUCUAGCAGGCUUUUCCCCAGGAAUGCUCAUAAAUACGUUCUUCAGGUAGAAAGGCACAAGAUCAGAGGGCUCAGCCCCAAGCCAUAAUAGAACAGUAUGGAACAAAGUCAAAGUUAAGACACAAUGUGACAGUAGUUUUGGGAAAGUCAACAAGUGAACAAUCAUCAGAAAAGGUCCAUGUCAAAGCUAAGUCUAAAGUCUUGUAAGACCAGACACUCUUCAUGUUGGUCAUCAAGAUACUAUGAUGUACAGCCCAAUGUGUCCUGUUCUGGCCAGGUUUGCUUUGUUUCCUUGAAGACAGCAGGUAUGUUUGUGCAGUGCAAUUGGUCUAGAAAGCAGAAUGUAGGACAUUCCUCAUCUUCCUGACAUUUAGCCAUGCCUGGCACAGACUGUCCAAAAGUACAGAGGAAACCUUCCUGUUAUUAAUGGACUGCUUGCUCAGUUGCUUAUGAACUGUGCCGUUGCACAGCCUUUCAUGAAACAACGUAGUGAGAAUUUAUGCCGGCUUGAUCAUGAUGAGCUGGACAAAAACAAACAACAAUAGUUUGCAAUUUCUAAGCUGCUGGGCAACUUUCUUCUGAGAGUUCAUGUAUGCAUUUGUCAAGCACAGACAAAAAAGUUAAGUGGGAAGCAAGCACAAACACAAACAUAAUUUAAAAAAGUUUAGUGCUUUACAGUUUCAGUAUUAGUCUUGCUGGAACACUGAAACAUAUUUUUCAAUGAACUGCCAGUACAGAGACUUGCCUGAGUGUCAGCAGUUAGAGAUGAGUCUGUGCUUCGGGAGAACAACAGCGGACUUCCAGCAAAACCUCUGCAGCCAGUUGCAAAGUGUGCUGGAAGUAACUGCAAACUUUUCAAAAUACUACAACAUGAAAACACUAAUGCAGCUCUGCAUGUUCCUACCUUUUUUUUUUUUUUUUUUUUCUUUUUACAUAAGCCUCUGUUUGGGAGGGGAACAUGAGAUUUCAAGUGAGAAGUACCUGGCAGCCUGCCAAAGCGAUAGGUAGAUUCCACCGUAAGUUAUAUAUCUAAUUAGUUUUGAUGGUUAACUGACAGAAGCAAUGGAAAACAGUAAAACGGAGGAAGAGAGAGGCUGCCUGUGUCCUUAGGACAUUCUGAAUGCAGCUAAAACUGCCUUUCUGCUGACACAGGUCCUGCACAGCCCUUUACACACAAAUGCACCCCUGUGCAGUCAUCCAAGGGAAAUCACGCAUUGCUGGGAAGAGCUGUUCAGAGACUGAAUAAAUCUUUAUAGAAAGAA